RNAcentral lists this transfer RNA (74 nucleotides) under Candidatus Woesearchaeota archaeon. RNAcentral describes it as "tRNA-Ala". It matches the Rfam family "tRNA". From Rfam's summary of the family: Transfer RNA (tRNA) molecules are approximately 80 nucleotides in length. Their secondary structure includes four short double-helical elements and three loops (D, anti-codon, and T loops). The record is from RNAcentral. Lineage: Archaea; Nanobdellati; Candidatus Woesearchaeota.
GGGCCGGUAGCUCAGCCUGGUAGAGUGCCGCAUUGGCAUUGCGGAAGCCUCGGGUUCAAAUCCCGACCGGUCCA